GGAGAGGUGGCAGAGUGGUUGAAUGCACCGGUCUUGAAAACCGGCGAGCGUUAAUAGCGUUCCGUGAGUUCGAAUCUCACCCUCUCCGCCA
This 91-nucleotide transfer RNA is filed under the name Pseudobdellovibrionaceae bacterium. RNAcentral describes it as "Bdellovibrionaceae bacterium tRNA-Ser". It matches the Rfam family "tRNA". Rfam says of the family: Transfer RNA (tRNA) molecules are approximately 80 nucleotides in length. Their secondary structure includes four short double-helical elements and three loops (D, anti-codon, and T loops). Lineage: Bacteria; Pseudomonadati; Bdellovibrionota; Bdellovibrionia; Bdellovibrionales; Pseudobdellovibrionaceae. The record is from RNAcentral.